ACCUAGCGAGCAUUCGACCGUAUUUGCUACGAUCAUCGAUGGGGAUGAAGAUUAAGAGAAAGAGCAGACCCAAUAACCCGCCCAAAAAAAAAAAAAAAAAAAAAAACAGAGGAUUUUUAAUAAGUUUUUAACUUUGUGUCCUGUAAGAACAAACAGAGAACAGAGAGGGUGUGUGGAUAUACAGGAGGGAGAGAGAAGGGGGAAGGAAAAUGAGGGAAGAGAUAACGAUAGCGACGUUCAAGUGGACGGAGCCAAGCCAGAUGACUAUGGCCGUCACGGAGUGGAAUAGGUUUGAGGAGGAGGAGGAAUGCUCAUCACCACCGAACUCUCUGAAUCCACCCAUGUCACCUCUUGUUCUUUCUUUUCUUUGGUUUGUCCGCUUCUCACAGACCAACGAACAGAUGUAUAGAGAUCCUCCUAGAGAGAUCUCUCUUCUCUCUCUCUCUCUUGGGAGUUGGGAGAGAGCCCAACCAUCCAACCAACCAAAUCUUUAACUAAACCCAUCUUUAAAGAGCCCAUUCAGUUUUCAUUACUAAUCGCUUUGUUAAAAAAAAUAUCUCCUACACUAAAGUACAUCACAUUACUGUUGGGCCAAUGUCUUUCCAUCUGUAAUCAUGGUUCACAAAUUUGUAGUUGACAUUCAUUUCAUAUGCUCUCUCAUACAAACCAAUUAAACACUGUGAUUUUUCCAUCUAAGAUCACGCAAUGUCUUUCCACAACCAAGUUGAAAUCUGUACUGCAACACAUUACGGUCAGCUCCGGACGUUUCAGAAACUCUUUGAUUGUUUGUUGACCCCUAUCUUUCAGAGGGAUCAUCAAUAAAAGAUAGGAUGAAACUGACUCUUUCUGUGGUCUAAACCAAAAGAUGCAUGCCUCCAUUAACUUGGGAAUGCUGAGAUGAGCAUUAAAUUGCAGUCAGCUUCUACCAUUAGUUUACUUGUCUAGCUACUGAGUUGACUCCUUGGAACAUGACAUUGUUACAAUUCAAGCAAGUAAUAUAUAGUGAACUGUGAACAGAAACAAGCUCCUUUUAACAAUGCAGAAUGAUCUUCAUAAGUAUGUGGAGUGGAGGACAACAAGAAUCACUUUUUAAGUUGCAAAAACCCAUAGAGUUUUUUUUAACGAUAUCCAUCUCUUUUAUCUUGUUCCGCAGCUUCCUUAUUAGCAGCUUCAACUGAUUUGAACCAUAAGAAUACCUGCCCACAUAUAACCCCCACCACUUUGUUCAUAAAAAAAAAAAAAAAAAAAAAAACAGAGGAUUUUUAAUAAGUUUUUAACUUUGUGUCCUGUAAGAACAAACAGAGAACAGAGAGGGUGUGUGGAUAUACAGGAGGGAGAGAGAAGGGGGAAGGAAAAUGAGGGAAGAGAUAACGAUAGCGACGUUCAAGUGGACGGAGCCAAGCCAGAUGACUAUGGCCGUCACGGAGUGGAAUAGGUUUGAGGAGGAGGAGGAAUGCUCAUCACCACCGAACUCUCUGAAUCCACCCAUGUCACCUCUUGUUCUUUCUUUUCUUUGGUUUGUCCGCUUCUCACAGACCAACGAACAGAUGUAUAGAGAUCCUCCUAGAGAGAUCUCUCUUCUCUCUCUCUCUCUUGGGAGUUGGGAGAGAGCCCAACCAUCCAACCAACCAAAUCUUUAACUAAACCCAUCUUUAAAGAGCCCAU
Molecule: long non-coding RNA, 1665 nt
Filed under: Brassica napus (rape)
Lineage: Eukaryota; Viridiplantae; Streptophyta; Magnoliopsida; Brassicales; Brassicaceae
Description: long non-coding RNA (BNAP_LNC009806)
Source: RNAcentral